RNAcentral lists this ribosomal RNA (959 nucleotides) under uncultured Actinomycetes bacterium. Its description in RNAcentral is "bacterial SSU rRNA". It matches the Rfam family "Bacterial small subunit ribosomal RNA", at positions 524 to 1482 of the family's 1533-position model. Lineage: Bacteria; Bacillati; Actinomycetota; Actinomycetes. The record is from RNAcentral.
UACGUAGGGUGCGAGCGUUGUCCGGAAUUAUUGGGCGUAAAGAGCUUGUAGGUGGUCCUUCACGUCUGCUGUGAAAUCUCAGGGCUCAACCCUGAGCUUGCAGUGGAUACGGGAGGACUUGAGUUCGGCUGGGGAGACUGGAACUCCUGGUGUAGCGGUGGAAUGCGCAGAUAUCAGGAAGAACACCGGUGGCGAAGGCGGGUCUCUGAACCGAUACUGACACUGAGAAGCGAAAGCGUGGGGAGCAAACAGGCUUAGAUACCCUGGUAGUCCACGCCGUAAACGUUGGGCGCUAGGUGUGGGGGACUUUCCACGUUCUCCGUGCCGCAGCUAACGCAUUAAGCGCCCCGCCUGGGGAGUACGGCCGCAAGGCUAAAACUCAAAGGAAUUGACGGGGGCCCGCACAAGCGGCGGAGCAUGCUGAUUAAUUCGAUGCAACGCGAAGAACCUUACCUGGGCUUGACAUACACGGAAAACUGGCAGAGAUGUCAGGUCCGCAAGGGCCGUGUACAGGUGGUGCAUGGUUGUCGUCAGCUCGUGUCGUGAGAUGUUGGGUUAAGUCCCGCAACGAGCGCAACCCUCGUCCUAUGUUGCCAGCGGGUAAAGCCGGGAACUCAUGGGAGACUGCCGGGGUCAACUCGGAGGAAGGUGGGGAUGACGUCAAAUCAUCAUGCCCCUUAUGUCCAGGGCUUCAAGCAUGCUACAAUGGCCGGUACAAAGGGCUGCGAUACCGCAAGGUGGAGCGAAUCCUCUAAAGCCGGUCUCAGUUCGGAUCGGGGUCUGCAACUCGACCCCGUGAAGUCGGAGUCGCUAGUAAUCGCAGAUCAGCAAUGCUGCGGUGAAUACGUUCUCGGGCCUUGUACACACCGCCCGUCAAGUCACGAAAGUCGGUAACACCCGAAGCCGGUGGCCUAACCGCAAGGAGGGAGCCGUCGAAGGUGGGACUGGUGAUUGGGACU